RNAcentral lists this unclassified non-coding RNA (175 nucleotides) under Glomeromycotina sp. Its description in RNAcentral is "partial contains small subunit ribosomal RNA, internal transcribed spacer 1, and 5.8S ribosomal RNA". Lineage: Eukaryota; Fungi; Glomeromycota. The record is from RNAcentral.
AAAGUCGUAACAAGGUUUCUGUAAGAACCUGUGGAAGGAUCGUUACUGAUUUGGCGAACCGAGCGUUAGCGAGGUUCUGCGAUCAUUUAUAUUUAAAACCCACUCUUGAAUUGUAUAAUUUAUGUAUUAAUGAUAAAAUUAAAGAUCACUUUCAACAACGGAUCUCUUGGCUCUC